Molecule: ribosomal RNA, 372 nt
Filed under: uncultured organism
Description: partial 16S ribosomal RNA
Rfam family: Bacterial small subunit ribosomal RNA
Source: RNAcentral
GUAGGUGGCAAGCGUUGUCCGGAAUUAUUGGGGCGUAAAGCGCGCGCAGGCGGUUCUUUAAGUCUGAUGUGAAAGCCCAGGGCUCAACCGUGAGGGUCAUUGGAAACUGGAGAACUUGAGUACAGAAGAGGAAAGCGGAAUUCCACGUGCAGCGGUGAAAUGCGUAGAGAUGUGGAGGAACACCAGUGGCGAAGGCGGCUUUCUGGUCUGUAACUGACGCUGAGGCGCGAAAGCGUGGGGAGCAAACAGGAUUAGAUACCCUGGUAGUCCACGCCGUAAACGAUGAGUGCUAAGUGUUAGGGGGUUUCCGCCCCUUAGUGCUGCAGCUAACGCAUUAAGCACUCCGCCUGGGGAGUACGGCCGCAAAGGCUG